This is a non-coding RNA of Cyanistes caeruleus (blue tit), 707 nucleotides long. NCBI's taxonomy places the organism in Eukaryota, Metazoa, Chordata, Aves, Passeriformes, Paridae. The record is from RefSeq and is a predicted model, not a curated record.
GCCACCGAGUCACGGCAUCGCUCCGGUGGGAGCGGCUGCUGCGGCCAUCGGGGCCAGCCUGCCACCCAACACCGCCUUGUCAGCCAGACCAGAGUCCUCUGGUGCCGUGUCAAACCUUUCCUUAAACACCGCCAGGGACGGGGAUUCCACCACCUCGCUCGGAAGUCGCAGGAAGACGGAUUCUUCAGGCACUUUCCCCACCACAGGCUGCAGAUCCCAAGGCCAUUGAACCCUCUGGGACCUGGACACUGGAGCUCCUGUCAAGCCUUCUCCCUUAUCUCUGUGUUUGGCAGGUGUCUGGCCGUGGAUUUCACACUUCCACUGACCUCUGAGCGCUGCCAAAGCGAGGGAGGCACAUUGGACAGAUAACACGUCCCCAUUCCACCUCCCCAAGGCCUUUAGGCUCUGGGGAGACUUAUUUAAAAAUAUGCCAGAUUUAAGGUCUGUCUCAAGGCAAAUAAAAACUGUGUAUUGUUUAAAUCACAUUUCCACGGCCUGCAGAUUUAAUACAGGAGUUGUAUUCUGGUAGCACAAAAAUUCAAAUGACACGUAGAGCAAGCAUGCAAUCUACAACACGUAUUUUGCUUUUAUAUACAGUACGCCUGCAUAAUUCCCCAUCAAAUUCUCACUUUUGAGGUUUCCAUGAAUUAGAAGCAAAACCAUGACCUUGAAAAUAAAUUACAUAAGCACUGUGGAUACACCGUGAA